This is a non-coding RNA of Biomphalaria pfeifferi, 600 nucleotides long. Lineage: Eukaryota; Metazoa; Mollusca; Gastropoda; Planorbidae. The record is from the annotation of a GenBank genome assembly.
UUUUUUUUUUUUCAUUGAAAUGAUUUAAUGUGUAAAUACAUAAAAUUUUGGUUUUUGCUGCCAUGUUGAAUAAAAAUCUAAUUUAUUUUUUGAUUUUUUUUGUUCACCCCCUCCCCCCCAACUCUUUCCAGUGUGGAAUGUUUCAGUUUCUUGAUCAUUUGUCUAGCCAAUAGGGUAGAUUUCAAAAGUUGUAUUGCUCACAAAUACAAAUGUAGCAAUUUUAAGAAACAACCUGAUAGAAAGUUUGUGUUUUAUUCCAUUUGAACUUGGUCACUGCUGUUUUCUUUUUCUUGCAAAACUUUGCCUUAUCUGGGUGCAAAUCUGCCUUGAUAAAUAUGUUUAUCUGGGGGCCAAUCUGCUAUGAUAAAUAACUUUAUCAAUGCAUUAAAAUGAACUGUAUAGAGAGACUGCUGCAUAAAAAAACUUGCUUGAAUAUUAUUAAAUUCUAUCUUUGUUAUCUGGGCAUCAAAUAGCAACAUGAAUUUUGCAAGAAGUUGAAACUUGUUUGAUCUAGGUUUUUAAAAAUGGGAACUAAAAAAAAACCCAUCAGUAACAAUUCUCAUAAUAAAUAUUCAACAUUUUUUAAGCCUUUGUUGUUUU